This 103-nucleotide transfer RNA is filed under the name Acidovorax sp. SUPP1855. RNAcentral describes it as "tRNA-Arg". The record is from RNAcentral. Lineage: Bacteria; Pseudomonadati; Pseudomonadota; Betaproteobacteria; Burkholderiales; Comamonadaceae.
GCGGGUGUGGGCGCCGCUAAGUCGUUGAUUUAUAAAAGUGCAGGUUGCUUUUGGUGGGCUACGAACCAAGGGGUCGUGGGUUCGAUUCCUGCCAGCCGCACCA